This 1755-nucleotide ribosomal RNA is filed under the name Vibrio cholerae. RNAcentral's name for it is "partial 23S ribosomal RNA". It matches the Rfam family "Bacterial large subunit ribosomal RNA", at positions 1213 to 2925 of the family's 2925-position model. The record is from RNAcentral. Lineage: Bacteria; Pseudomonadati; Pseudomonadota; Gammaproteobacteria; Vibrionales; Vibrionaceae.
UCUUUUAGACAUUGGGUAGGGGAGCGUUCUGUAAGCCGUUGAAGGUGAAUCGUAAGGUUUGCUGGAGGUAUCAGAAGUGCGAAUGCUGACAUGAGUAACGACAAAGGGGGUGAAAAACCUCCUCGCCGGAAGACCAAGGGUUCCUGUCCAACGUUAAUCGGGGCAGGGUGAGUCGACCCCUAAGGUGAGGCCGAAAGGCGUAAUCGAUGGGAAACGGGUUAAUAUUCCCGUACUUCUGACUAUUGCGAUGGGGGGACGGAGAAGGCUAGGUGGGCCAGGCGACGGUUGUCCUGGUUCAAGUGCGUAGGCUUGAGAGUUAGGUAAAUCCGGCUCUCUCUAAGGCUGAGACACGACGUCGAGCUACUACGGUAGUGAAGUCAUUGAUGCCAUGCUUCCAGGAAAAGCCUCUAAGCUUCAGAUAGUCAGGAAUCGUACCCCAAACCGACACAGGUGGUCGGGUAGAGAAUACCAAGGCGCUUGAGAGAACUCGGGUGAAGGAACUAGGCAAAAUGGUACCGUAACUUCGGGAGAAGGUACGCUCUUGAUGGUGAAGUCCCUCGCGGAUGGAGCUGACGAGAGUCGCAGAUACCAGGUGGCUGCAACUGUUUAUUAAAAACACAGCACUGUGCAAAAUCGCAAGAUGACGUAUACGGUGUGACGCCUGCCCGGUGCCGGAAGGUUAAUUGAUGGGGUUAGCGCAAGCGAAGCUCUUGAUCGAAGCCCCGGUAAACGGCGGCCGUAACUAUAACGGUCCUAAGGUAGCGAAAUUCCUUGUCGGGUAAGUUCCGACCUGCACGAAUGGCGUAAUGAUGGCCACGCUGUCUCCACCCGAGACUCAGUGAAAUUGAAAUCGCUGUGAAGAUGCAGUGUACCCGCGGCUAGACGGAAAGACCCCGUGAACCUUUACUACAGCUUGGCACUGAACAUUGAACCUACAUGUGUAGGAUAGGUGGGAGGCUAUGAAGACGUGACGCCAGUUGCGUUGGAGCCGUCCUUGAAAUACCACCCUUGUAUGUUUGAUGUUCUAACUUAGACCCAUUAUCUGGGUUGAGGACAGUGCCUGGUGGGUAGUUUGACUGGGGCGGUCUCCUCCCAAAGAGUAACGGAGGAGCACGAAGGUGGGCUAAUCACGGUUGGACAUCGUGAGGUUAGUGCAAUGGCAUAAGCCCGCUUAACUGCGAGAAUGACGGUUCGAGCAGGUGCGAAAGCAGGUCAUAGUGAUCCGGUGGUUCUGUAUGGAAGGGCCAUCGCUCAACGGAUAAAAGGUACUCCGGGGAUAACAGGCUGAUACCGCCCAAGAGUUCAUAUCGACGGCGGUGUUUGGCACCUCGAUGUCGGCUCAUCACAUCCUGGGGCUGAAGUCGGUCCCAAGGGUAUGGCUGUUCGCCAUUUAAAGUGGUACGCGAGCUGGGUUUAGAACGUCGUGAGACAGUUCGGUCCCUAUCUGCCGUGGGCGUUGGAAGAUUGAAGGGGGCUGCUCCUAGUACGAGAGGACCGGAGUGGACGAACCUCUGGUGUUCGGGUUGUGUCGCCAGACGCAUUGCCCGGUAGCUAAGUUCGGAAUUGAUAAGCGCUGAAAGCAUCUAAGCGCGAAGCGAGCCCUGAGAUGAGUCUUCCCUGACAGUUUAACUGUCCUAAAGGGUUGUUCGAGACUAGAACGUUGAUAGGCAGGGUGUGUAAGCGUUGUGAGGCGUUGAGCUAACCUGUACUAAUUGCCCGUGAGGCUUAACCAUACAACACCCAAGGGGUUUUGUA